This is a small nucleolar RNA of Pristis pectinata (smalltooth sawfish), 68 nucleotides long. RefSeq annotates it as small nucleolar RNA SNORD58. The record is from RefSeq and is a predicted model, not a curated record. Lineage: Eukaryota; Metazoa; Chordata; Chondrichthyes; Rhinopristiformes; Pristidae. The transcript has a single exon.
UGGCAAUGAUGACCAUCUUAGGACACCUUUGGAAUAAUAAUGAAAACAAUGUUACUCUACUGAGCUUC